GAUGAACGCUAGCUACAGGCUUAACACAUGCAAGUCGAGGGGUAACGAGAGGAAAGCUUGCUUUCCUUGUCGACGACCGGCGCACGGGUGAGUAACGCGUAUCCAACCUGCCCCCAACUAGGGAAUAACCUUGCGAAAGUAAGACUAAUACCCUAUAAUUUCCUCAGAUGUCAUCUGACGAGGAAUAAAGAUUUAUCGGUUGUGGAUGGGGAUGCGUCUGAUUAGCUUGUUGGCGGGGUAACGGCCCACCAAGGCAACGAUCAGUAGGGGUUCUUAGAGGAAGGUCCCCAGCAUUGGAACUGAGACACGGUCCAAACUCCUACGGGAGGCAGCAGUGAGGAAUAUUGGUCAAUGGGCGGAAGCCUGAACCAGCCAUGUAGCGUGCAGGAUGACGGCCCUAUGGGUUGUAAACUGCUUUUAUACAGGAAUAAAGUUAGCCACGUGUGGUUAUUUGUAGGUACUGUAUGAAUAAGGACCGGCUAAUUCCGUGCCAGCCGCCGCAGUAA
RNAcentral lists this ribosomal RNA (506 nucleotides) under uncultured bacterium. RNAcentral's name for it is "partial 16S ribosomal RNA". It matches the Rfam family "Bacterial small subunit ribosomal RNA", at positions 28 to 523 of the family's 1533-position model. The record is from RNAcentral.